UAAGCGGAGGAAAAGAAACUAACAAGGAUUCCCCUAGUAACUGCGAGUGAAGCGGGAAAAGCUCAAAUUUAAAAUCUGGCGGUCUUUGGCUGUCCGAGUUGUAAUUUAGAGAAGCGUCUUCCGCGCCGGACCGUGCACAAGUCUCCUGGAAUGGAGCGUCAUAGAGGGUGAGAAUCCCGUCUUUGGCACGGAUGCCUGUGCUUCUGUGAUGCGCUCUCAAAGAGUCGAGUUGUUUGGGAAUGCAGCUCAAAAUGGGUGGUGAGCUCCAUCUAAAGCUAAAUAUUGGCGAGAGACCGAUAGCGAACAAGUACCGUGAGGGAAAGAUGAAAAGCACUUUGGAAAGAGAGUGAAACAGUACGUGAAAUUGUUGAAAGGGAAACGCUUGAAGUCAGUCGCGUCGACCGAGACUCAGCCUUGCCUUGGCUUGGUGUACUUCUCGGCCCGACGGGUCAGCAUCAAUUUUGCCCCUCGGAUAAUGGCAAGGGAAAGGUGGCACCUUUGCGGGUGUGUUAUAGUCUCCUGUCGCAUGCGAGGGGUGGGAUUGAGGAACUCAGCGCGCACCUUGGUGUCGGGGCUUCGGCCCACGUCACGCGCUUAGGAUGCUGGCGUAAUGGCUUUAAACGACC
Molecule: ribosomal RNA, 626 nt
Filed under: uncultured Russulaceae
Lineage: Eukaryota; Fungi; Basidiomycota; Agaricomycetes; Russulales; Russulaceae
Description: LSU rRNA
Rfam family: Eukaryotic large subunit ribosomal RNA
Source: RNAcentral